This 561-nucleotide ribosomal RNA is filed under the name Stylephorus chordatus (tube-eye). RNAcentral's name for it is "partial 12S ribosomal RNA". The stretch from base 229 to 561 matches the Rfam family "Bacterial large subunit ribosomal RNA", at positions 569 to 1028 of the family's 2925-position model. The record is from RNAcentral. Lineage: Eukaryota; Metazoa; Chordata; Actinopteri; Stylephoriformes; Stylephoridae.
GCAUCUCCCUUACACCGAGAAGGUAUCCGUGCAACUCGGAUCACCCUGACUGCCUUAAAGCUAGCCUCAACAAUCAAGACCUUUUAUUAAGAUCCUAAUAACUUAAAUAAACUUAACCAAACCAUUUUCACUCCGAGUAUAGGUGAUAGAAACGAAAAAAGAGCAAUAGAUAUAGUACCGCAAGGGAACACUGAAAAAGAAAUGAAACAACCCAUUAAAGCUUAAAACAGCAGAGCUAAUCCCUCGUACCUUUUGCAUCAUGAUUUAGCAAGCAAACUCUCAGGCAAAGAGCUCUUUUAGUCUGACACCCCGAAACUGAGCGAGCUACUCCAAGACAGCCUAUAUUAGGGCAAACCCGUCCCUGUGGCAAAAGGGUGGGAAGAGCUUUGAGUAGAGGUGAUAAACCUACCGAGCCCAGUUAUAGCUGGUUGCCUGGGAAAUGAAUAAAAGUUCAGCCCUACUAAUCCUUCCCCCCUCACAUAUGAUUACACUAUAAUGAUCAAGGAAAAUUAGAGGAGUUAAUUGAAGGGGGUACAGCUCCUUCAAUAAAUGAUACAACUU